UUCAAAGAAAAUCCGAGUGUAACUGUUUGAAUGUGUCCUCUCCGAAAUUCAGGUGUUGCCAAUGUGACACUAUCAAGAGGUGGGGCUUUAAGAGGUAAUUAAGCCAUGAGGACUCCUCCCUCAUGAAUAGGAUUUGGUUCCCAUAUAAAGGGCCUUGACAGAGGGAGUUCAUCCCUUUUAUCCUUCCGCCUUUUGCCAUGUGAGGACACAGCACUCCUCCCCUCUGGAGAAUCCAACAUUAAGGUGCUGUCUUGCAAGCAGGAUGCAUCCUUCGCUAGGCAAGCUGAAACUGCUGGUCUCUUGAUCUUGGAUUUCACAGCCUCCAGAAUUAUGAGAAAGUAAAUUUCUCUUCUAUAAAAUACCCACUCUCAGUAAUUCUGUUAUAGCAGCACAAACAGACUUUAAACAGCUUUAAAGUGUGAUUAGAGUCAACAACCCUAACUAGGGUCAGUAAAUGGCAUACUCUGUUAUCUCUAUUGCAAAGUUACUGCCUAACUCCAGGUGCACCACAUUUUAGCACAUUCCCACUUUGGCAAUGUAGUGGUGGUGGUGGUGGUGGUAAAGGUGUCCAGACAGAGGGGACAGUAAGAGGAAAAAGUCCUAAAAUGACUGGUAUGCUUAACACAGGUUUCUUUAACUCCCUACAACCUGUAGCAGGUACAAAUAGGUUCACAUUAGCAUUAACUCCCUCAUUUAAAUGGCUCAUCUUAGUUCUUUGCCUAUGCUUUUCAUUUAUUUUCAGAUGUCUCUAGAGAUGUCUCACACACAUGCAAUAACGGUCUUCUGUUCCUCUGUUCCACCUUACUAGCUGGUGUCUAUCACCCACAAGCCACUUAAGGAAAAUGCUUUUCCUCUGCUGUGACUGCUGUUGUCCUUCAUGAAAUACUGCCCAGCCCAGGAAGCAAGCUUCAGACAUUCCCAAAGUCACAAUACACUCGAGGUGCCAAAUGACAAUGUGUUCCGUAAAUCAAACGACGUGAUGGAGCCUGGAGCCUGGGAAGUUCAAGAUCAAGGCGCCAGCAGAUUAGAUGUCUGCUCCUGAUUCAUCACCAAAAACCUAUGGAUCCAAGAAAAAAUUCCAGUUAGUGGAUUGUCAGUGCCGAACCCUGGCAAACCAGGCACAGAUGCUCAGGGGCUUUGCAUCAUUGAAGUUCCAGCAAAGAUUUCGGAGGAGGAGAGUCUGAAAGUGAGGAGUGUGGAUUUCUCAUCACUACCAUCCCUCCCUCUCACUCCCUCACCUCCCUACACAUCUCUCUGGUGGUCUCCUUUUGCAUUUUCUCCCCACUGGUUAACAGGCUACUUUCUAAGUGUCUUUAAGUGGCUUUUGUAAAUGUGAAUUGCAUUUUGCAGCUGGGCUAGAAGAAAGGUGUUGAGAGUGGGAACCACGUGUUUCUGGUAUUCCCCUUUGUGCCCUGCCUGGGCCAGUACUCCCAGCCUUGUGGCCAUGUUGACAGACACUUGCAGUAGUGGCACCGAGCCCCAGCCCUGUGGGGUGAGGAAGAGCUGUCAGCACUCCUAAGCUCACAGCCUCUGGGGGACCUCCCUGCUUUGCCUGCACCAUGGCAGCCUUUCUGGACUAUCUAUCCUUUGAAUGGAGCCUUCUCUAACAUCACCAAGCUUGGUCAACCAGAGAGAGCCUCAGGAAACCAUACACCCAUCAAUUAAUAUGAUUCAGGCAUGUUCUAAGCUGAAGUGCUAGGGUGGAGGCAGGGCUUACUCCAAAAGAACACAAUCUCUGCUCCAAGUGUUUGCAUUCUAAAACCAACACUGACUCACGAAUAGAGCACCGAGAACCUAAAAAUUCGGACAAUACAAAACUUAUAGUGUGAGCAGUUCCAUCACUAAUGCCAAUUGUCUCAUUCACCAAGUGUUGUACUUUUUGAAUACCUACUGUAUGCCCAAAAGAUAACAGAUUCUCCCUCCAGCAGGGGCCCUGAGUGAUGCAGUGUGCACUGGGCAUGUCUUUAAAAUUUUCUGGUCUCUUGCCACAUGGUGAAGCCUCUGGUCUUAGGGUGGCUGAAUGCAGAGGGUGGCUUGGGAUGGUGUGAAGGAGUAACUCCCAAGUCAGCAAAGACACGGACAUGGAAACUCCACGGCCACCAUGUGUCUGUCCCAUUGCCACAGAGGCUGUGAUGGCUUCAGGGGUCUAGAGGGUCAGGCGGAUGGAAAGAGCCCCCAAAGCACAGCAGUUGGAGAGGCCAGGCUGUGGAUGGAUUCCACAGGGUACAGAAAAAGGGAGGCUGAGAGCCACCCAGCUGGGAGUUCACCUGAGUCAGCCCUUCAAGUGAAGUAGAUGCCAUACCUGGACUUACCCACAAGGGUACGGAAAGGACUGCCUCCAGCCUUCCCACAUUCACCCCAUCUCAAAGAUUUCCCGUAGCGUGGUCCGUAUGGAGAUGGGAACCUGAAAGACCCUCAGGCAGCCUUCACGAAGGACCUAUUUAGUCUUCAGAGGUAUGCAGUCAACCCCACUCAGAACCCAUACAAGUCUACUGGAGUCCUGGGAGUUCUCAAGACCUAACUAUAACACUACUGUGUCCACAGCUAGGUUAGGAAACCAGGGAGACAGGAUGUAAAUGAAUAGAAAGGAGAUUGUCUGGACAAUGAGUGUGCUUGUGAAGUAGUGAGCUUCCCUGUCUCAAGAUUGUCCAGCAGAUUGGAUGGCGAAGGAGAAUCAUGACUCGACUGAACUGCUGGAUUCCUACCUACUCUACUGUUUACAGAUUUAUUUACUUCAUGGGUUAAAAAUGGCCUCAUUUCCUUUCUGGCUGGUAAAGCGAGGCAAAAAGAUGUGCAAGAAGGACCUGCUUGGGAUGUGGAGGGGUUUCGUGCCUUUUCAUUUAAUUCUCAGCCCAUUGGCUGUCUCCACUGCUGGAUCUCCAUCUCUGACUCACCUACGCAGACCUCAUUUGGUUCCAGGAACACGAGAGAUUCCCUCUCUCACAUUGCUUGGCUUCAGCUGAAUCAGGAGCCCUUGUCUCCUAGAAUUUUAAGUGUCCUUUUGAAAUCUGGAGGGUUGUGCUGAAGUCAGAGCAACCUGGGAUAAUCUGAGUCCUGCCACUUUCUGGUCGAGUGAAUUUGGGCUAGUUCCCGCAUUCCUUUCUGGGUGACUAUUCCUUCAUGAGCUCCCUUCUUUUCUUUCGGAGUGCUGCCACCACUUCCCCCCGCACACUCAUAGGGUUGGUUCUGUGAAGAGAGUCACUCCUCUCCAGCACAGGAAGAUGGGUCUCCACAGGACCCACUGGGCACCUAGCCCAGCAACACACAAGCUCUUGGCACUUGCAAGCUGAGCAGAGAAAGUCAAGAGCUGCUGGGAGCCGGUGCCAGCUCUGCCAGCUGUUUCCCUGGGAAGGCAGAGUCAAGUUCUGCUGUGUUAAUGUGGCUUAUCCCCUAAUAAUGCCCCAGAGGCUGGCAAACAGCUUGUAAAUAGUAAGAAGAACACAUUCAACUCCACGUGGAAAGUGAUUCAAUUACUAUCCCCUAUUACUCCGGCUGUUCCUAAAAGGCUGAAAUCAACCACUUCCUGCUGCAGAUUCAUCUGCCCAGACAUCCCACUGUCUCCAGGCUUUCUUGGCACAAUUCCAAAUUAGGUGAGUAAAAUUCGUGUUUUGUCUUCCAUCUGUAAGGAGCCAGGUUCUAUGUGGAUGACAGUCAAGGGGAGAUCCAGUUCUCCAUCCACUUCUUCCCCAGACAGGUGAGAAAUCACUCAGUAUGCACACAGCACUGCAGUCACCCUGUGCAUAAUGAAUAUUUAUGUCACGAGCCCUGGCGUGACUCGUUUCCAUCUGCCUCCAGCAGAUAGGGUGUAUUAGUGGAGAGAGGCUUUGACAACAGGGCUUUGUUCACUAACGUGGAAUCCCCUUCCAGGAUUCAUACGCAGAGUGCAUCCUUUCACACACACAACCAUCACAGUCUCCUCCCUCUUCUCUUCCUCUCUCUUUCUUUCUGGAAAAAGUAUUUCUUAAUGGAGACCUGGUACUCUAGGAAAGAGCCAACCAGUGCUGAGCUAUCUAAUAUUCAUCAGAUAGGAGAAUUCUAGAAGGUAAAGCUCCCUGUAACCCUUGCCCCUCUUCUCUGUGCUCACCCUCCACGCUCAGAAGAAAAAUUUGGUUAGACAUAAAUUCUCCUUGGUCAUUGAGCUAAAAGACAAGAUGGAAAGAGAGAAUCAUCAAGUCAUUUAUGUGACAAAUAUUGCUGCGUAUAUACUAGGUUCUGCCUGUGACUAUGCCAGAUGGACAGGCUACCUCCCCUUACAAAGUUUAUGGUCUCUUAGAGAAGACCAUUAAACAAAUAAAAACAAGGUGCUUGGCCGGGCGCGGUG
This is a long non-coding RNA of Cercocebus atys (sooty mangabey), 4321 nucleotides long. RefSeq lists it as uncharacterized. The transcript has 4 exons. The record is from RefSeq and is a predicted model, not a curated record. NCBI's taxonomy places the organism in Eukaryota, Metazoa, Chordata, Mammalia, Primates, Cercopithecidae.